GUGAACGCUGGCGGCGUGCUUAACACAUGCAAGUCGAACGGUAGCAGAAACUAGCUUGCUAGUUUGCUGACGAGUGGCGCACGGGUGAGUAAACUAUAGUUAAUGUACCCCAAAGACUGGGAUAGCCACUGGAAACGGUGAUUAAUACUAGAUACACCUUCUUAUCAUAAGGUAAGAAGGGAAAUGUCUUUUCGCUUUGGGAUCAGACUAUAUCCUAUCAGCUAGUUGGUGAGGUAAUGGCUCACCAAGGCAAUGACGGGUAGCGGUUCUGAGAGGAUGAUCCGCCACACUGGUACUGAGACACGGACCAGACUCCUACGGGAGGCAGCAGUGAGGAAUAUUGCACAAUGGGCGAAAGCCUGAUGCAGCAACGCCGCGUGGAGGAUGACGCAUUUCGGUGCGUAAACUCCUUUUAAGAGGGAAGAUAAUGACGGUACCUCUUGAAUAAGCACCGGCUAACUCCGU
Molecule: ribosomal RNA, 465 nt
Filed under: uncultured bacterium
Lineage: Bacteria
Description: bacterial SSU rRNA
Rfam family: Bacterial small subunit ribosomal RNA
Source: RNAcentral